This 459-nucleotide ribosomal RNA is filed under the name uncultured bacterium. RNAcentral describes it as "partial 16S ribosomal RNA". It matches the Rfam family "Bacterial small subunit ribosomal RNA", at positions 339 to 795 of the family's 1533-position model. The record is from RNAcentral.
CUACGGGACGCUGCAGUAAGGAAUAUUGCGCAAUGGAGGCAACUCUGACGCAGCCAUGCCGCGUGCAGGAAGAAGGCCUUAUGGGUCGUAAACUGCUUUUAUUUAGGAAUAAACCCCCGAACGUGUUCGGGGCUGAAGGUACUAAACGAAUAAGCACCGGCUAACUCCGUGCCAGCAGCCGCGGUAAUACGGAGGGUGCAAGCGUUAUCCGGAUUUAUUGGGUUUAAAGGGUGCGCAGGCGGGCUAUUAAGUCAGUGGUGAAAUCCCGGGGCUCAACUCCGGAACUGCCAUUGAUACUGAUAGUCUUGAGUUUGGUUGAAGUGGGCGGAAUGUAGCAUGUAGCGGUGAAAUGCAUAGAUACGCUACAGAACACCAAUCGCGAAGGCAGCUCACUAAGCCAAAACUGACGCUCAUGCACGAAAGCGUGGGGAUCAAACAGGAUUAGAUACCCUUGUAGUC